GAUGAACGCUGGCGGCGUGCCUAAUACAUGCAAGUCGAGCGAACUGAUUAGAAGCUUGCUUCUAUGACGUUAGCGGCGGACGGGUGAGUAACACGUGGGCAACCUGCCUGUAAGACUGGGAUAACUUCGGGAAACCGAAGCUAAUACCGGAUAGGAUCUUCUCCUUCAUGGGAGAUGAUUGAAAGAUGGUUUCGGCUAUCACUUACAGAUGGGCCCGCGGUGCAUUAGCUAGUUGGUGAGGUAACGGCUCACCAAGGCAACGAUGCAUAGCCGACCUGAGAGGGUGAUCGGCCAAACUGGGACUGAGACACGGCCCAGACUCCUACGGGAGGCGGAAGUAGGGAAUCUUCCGCAAUGGACGAAAGUCUGACGGAGCAACGCCGCGUGAGUGAUGAAGGCUUUCGGGUCGUAAAACUCUGUUGUUAGGGAAGAACAAGUACAAGAGUAACUGCUUGUACCUUGACGGUACCUAACCAGAAAGCCACGGCUAACUACGUGCCAGCCGCCGCCGUAA
This 514-nucleotide ribosomal RNA is filed under the name uncultured bacterium. RNAcentral's name for it is "partial 16S ribosomal RNA". It matches the Rfam family "Bacterial small subunit ribosomal RNA", at positions 28 to 523 of the family's 1533-position model. The record is from RNAcentral.